This 211-nucleotide unclassified non-coding RNA is filed under the name plant metagenome. Its description in RNAcentral is "partial contains small subunit ribosomal RNA, internal transcribed spacer 1, and 5.8S ribosomal RNA". The record is from RNAcentral.
UUUCCGUAGGUGAACCUGCGGAAGGAUCAUUCAUAAUAAAGUGUUUUAUGGCACUUUUUAAAAAUCCAUAGCCACCUUGUGUGCAAUGUUAGAUCUCGUCAAUCUUGGCGAGAUUUUUAUACAUCAACUCAUUCUUUAACUAAUUUGUCUGAAAAAUAUUAUGAAUACUUAAUUCAAAAUACAACUUUCAACAACGGAUCUCUUGGCUCUC